Long non-coding RNA from Patella vulgata (common limpet), 1780 nucleotides. RefSeq lists it as uncharacterized. Lineage: Eukaryota; Metazoa; Mollusca; Gastropoda; Patellidae. The transcript is spliced from 2 exons. The record is from RefSeq and is a predicted model, not a curated record.
AAUGUCUUAAACUAUAACCAGAUACGGUUAGGGUAAUUAAUUGAAUAUGAUUUGUUAAUGAGAUGAAACUGUUCACUAUUAACAGGUACGAGCCUACUAUAUCGUCCAGGAACAGAGGAUGACGUCAUUGCAGUCAUCUUGGAUGUGUGUAGAUCGUAGAGUAGCGCUUGGGGACCAGUUUCGGAUCCAACAUGCUUCAAAAAUGGGGGUGUAUAGUUGUUGUUUUUCUUGUGUGUGUGUGCGUUUCCGUCGUGUCUUCGUUUCAUACACACCAAGUUUUCUUCAAUUUCCAAGAUAUUUUAUGGAAUUUUCAAGAUAGGUUAAUGAAUUUUAAAGAUGACUUUUAAAAAAAUUAAUUUUCGAAAAUUUAGGACCAUUUCUUAGUAUAGCUUUUGGAAUAUGUGUGUUAGUUUUCUCUAAAUGUCGCCGUAAUUUUUUCCCGUAUACAUGAUUUAUCAGUCUGUGUAAGAUACUGUUAAUCAAUAAAAAAUAUUAAUAGUUUAUCGAUGCCAUAAAAUAACGAUAUAAACUUUUGAUUUAAAGUGAUUUAUGACAUCAAACAUAUCAACACACGUCGAAACUUUAUAAAAAUUUGAAGGACAUUUGCUUCAUCGAUGAGUGCUGGUAUAAUGAAUACCUAAAAGAUAAGUGUGGGAUCUUAUUUAUCACCCAAUAUCAGUUUGGAACAAUACAUUGAAAACAAAGGAACAAACAACCAAGGACUAUGAGAUUUUAUUUAUUACCCAAUAAUAUUCAAUGCAAUGCAAUGUGGUUUAACGUCCUAUUUUUCUGCACCUACUGGACUAAUGAAUGCAGACUAACGCCAUACAGUAUGCCGAGGUAAAUUUUGCGCGGACAUCGGCGCUACGAUCAACAUUUAUAACGAAUGCUAACCACCAAAGGUACUUUCACGUGCGCGUUCGUUCCAGACACUGCCUUGUCAGGCCCUCCGUCCUGCACCACUGGCAGAGAAAGUUUCAUGUGAUAUUCCGGCAUGAUUUCCCCAUUUCAGUAGUUAGUGCAGGACGGAUGGCCUGGCAACGAGGCCUCAUGUUUCCCGACAGUUGAAAUUCGAAACAAGUGUAGGUCUAAAUUUUCCUCACUGCACAGUGCAUGGCGUGUGUCCGUUUUAAUGAACCCGGAUAGAGCAGAUAAAUGGGAAUUUAAACCCGUUUCCGUUCAGAUAUCAGGCGAUAUCUCUUGUGCAAUGGUAAAACCUAUUCUAGUCUCAAUCUUAUCAUUUACACGAACUGAACCGAUGCUUCAACAAACAUUAUAAAUGAUCACAUGCUAUGAAACAGGUUGUAGCAAAAAGGAAUGUAAGCCUAAUAUUUAUUUUAACUGAAACGGAAACAGAGAGAGAAAAAAAACCCAAGUGCACCUUUAAGAUAUACAUGCAGAUUGCAGCUUGUUUGGUCUUAUUUCGUCUAGUUUUGUUGUGACAUGCAUGUUUAUUUAACUUUCAUGUUGACACUGUGCAGUAAUAAGUAAACACCAAGGGAUUAACCCAAAACAAACCAAAAUAACUUGACAAUUGCGAUCGCUAAUGUCAACCUGAUCUUCAAAACAGACGAUGUAGUUAAAUGACACGACUGAAAUAUACAAACAAGUGCUUUGUGAAACUAAAAUAAAUUAAAAUACAAUAAAAUUGAAUUCCCAACAGGUCCUAACCAAGCGCUAGUGAAUUUUGAUCGGAGCGAAGUUCAUAGUUUUUGGACAGUGUCCACCUAGGCAUGUUCCCUUCUCCCUGCAUAUUUUUAGAAAACAUUUCGUUAUUUUA